Molecule: long non-coding RNA, 1187 nt
Filed under: Equus asinus (donkey)
Lineage: Eukaryota; Metazoa; Chordata; Mammalia; Perissodactyla; Equidae
Description: lncRNA (ENSEASG00005036196.1)
Source: RNAcentral
GUUGAUUGAUCGGUAUGAAGCAAGAGCAUACUGACCUUUGUUGCUUUCUUUUGCUGUAAUACUGAUAAAAUGUCCACCAUGAUGAAUACGAGAGUAUAUAUUUUCUAGUGGUUUUGUCUUUGUGGAUGACCUCAGGCCAGCAGACUGGCAGCAGGAGCCAUGCAGAGAGCAGAGGAACCAUGCUGGGUAGCACGGCCAGCUCAUCCUCUAAGCCCAGAGCCCAGCUUGCAGCAGAAGUAGAUGAGCAUCCAGAAGGAGAAGAAGAAGGGAAGAUGAGAAAGGAUGAAGAUAAUACCGUUUAUCUGUUGGAAACCAAUCCCAGUACCACCGACCGUUGACAUUGCCAACCUUUCUUCUUUUCUUAUCAUUCUGUCUCAUUUUUGGUCCUGUGGAGUGUUUAAUUCUUAUAGAGAUGUGCUUCUCAUGGUGUUGUCUCGGUUUCUGAGAAGAUGUAUCAGUCGCGUCAGCAUUGACAACUCCUGCACAGGUAUGAUGAGAACAGAACAGGUGUUCUCAAAAAAAGAUGUAACUUUUAAAAACUUGGAGAUUGAAGAUCACAAUGGAUCAUCAAAAAAUGCAAAAGAAUCAGUCAUAUCUGGAACCCAUGUUGGAAAAUAUCAAGAAUAGAGGAAGGACAAGGAGAUUUAUUUGAUGUAGCAAGUUCAGAGAGGGAUUCAGGAACAUUAGAGAAGAAUUUGAAAAGUGUGAUCCGGAAAAAAGUAGUCAAGGUUGGAAAGGAAGAUGUCAUUUCAGUCCUGAAAAAGUUUGACUUGCAUCUGAAGGACGAAUAUUUUGACGAUUUCCUGAAGAGAUGCGACCUUCUAAACAGUCUGACUGGCCGUAGGAAUUUGGAUACCUGAGAAACAUCCAGGAUGGCAGCGAUGAAGGGACCACGCGCAGUCCUCUCCAAGCCCGUGCGCAGGUUGCACGGACCCUCUAUAUUGUUACUGCUAGUCUUCUAAUCAGCUAUCUCCUACCAGACCCGUUGAUAAACACAAAGGACGGUCCUCACCUUUGUGGUGCCCUGUCCUCCUGGAGACCUUGACAUUAAUGGACAAGGGCAGCCUGGUCCAGAGACGGUCCAUGAGAAGUUGGCCUUGGGAAACAAAAGUGCUACAGGAAUGAACCUACUCUGUAUUGUUACUAAAACCGUUAGUGUUAUUGUUAUUAAAAUUACUUUCAUUUAA